UGGGUAGAUUUUCAGCAGUGAUGGGCUGGC
This 30-nucleotide non-coding RNA is filed under the name Rattus norvegicus (Norway rat). The record is from RNAcentral. Lineage: Eukaryota; Metazoa; Chordata; Mammalia; Rodentia; Muridae.